Cylas formicarius (sweet potato weevil) is the source of this 632-nucleotide long non-coding RNA. RefSeq lists it as uncharacterized. The transcript has 4 exons. Lineage: Eukaryota; Metazoa; Arthropoda; Insecta; Coleoptera; Brentidae. The record is from RefSeq and is a predicted model, not a curated record.
ACACGGAACAUUAAAUUUCCUAGUUUGUAUUUCUUUUUUCAAGUCUUUGAGUAAAUUAACGAUUUGUUAAUGUUUACUCACGCGUAUACCCUUACCAAACCUUUUAGCUUUUCUAAAGCCUAAACGUUUCGCAAUUUCCGAUUCCAAUGCAAGCCCUUUGAAAACCAGCUUUAUUAAAGCCAGCGAGUUCGGUAUGCAGUUUAAAUAAUGGAUCACUGCUCGCAGGAUGUUUAAUGCUGCGUAGCCCUAGUGGGAAAUCAUUCCUCAUGAUUCCACCAGAGGCGGAAGUAAACAUUGCCGAAAUGAAUUUGACGGGUGUUGGAUUUUACGUUCCCUUUUAUAUCGAUAUCGCAAUAUCCGGAUUUUAUUGUUGAAUUUCAGUUUCAAUUGAAAUCACACUGUGUCGUAACAUGACGCGUUUAACGGUUUUGUAUUUAAUAUCCUCUUUUGCGAUAAGCGUGUUGGAUGAUUCGGAUAAUGCGGAACCGACAACCGACAUUUUGGAAGAAAGCAUUUUUUCCUCUGCGUUCAACGUUGUCCAAAAAUUAGCGUGUUAUGCACGAGAAUCUGCCACUGUAGAUGUCCGAUGUACCUUGCGAUGUCUUCGGUACCUAUUCAAAUGUGGAUGAAUA